ACGAACGCUGGCGGCGUGCCUAAUACAUGCAAGUAGAACGCACAGUUUAUACCGUAGCUUGCUACACCAUAGACUGUGAGUUGCGAACGGGUGAGUAACGCGUAGGUAACCUGCCUGGUAGCGGGGGAUAACUAUUGGAAACGAUAGCUAAUACCGCAUAAUAUUAAUUAUUGCAUGAUAAUUAAUUGAAAGGUGCAAUUGCACCACUACCAGAUGGACCUGCGUUGUAUUAGCUAGUAGGUGAGGUAACGGCUCACCUAGGCGACGAUACAUAGCCGACCUGCGAGGGUGAUCGGCCACACUGGGACUGCGACACGGCCCAGACUCCUACGGGAGGCAGCAGUAGGGAAUCUUCGGCAAUGGACGAAAGUCUGACCGAGCAACGCCGCGUGAGUGAAGAAGGUUUUCGGAUCGUAAAGCUCUGUUGUAAGAGAAGAACGGGUGUGAGAGUGGAAAGUUCACACUGUGACGGUAUCUUACCAGAAAGGGACGGCUAACUACGUG
This 504-nucleotide ribosomal RNA is filed under the name uncultured bacterium. Its description in RNAcentral is "partial 16S ribosomal RNA". It matches the Rfam family "Bacterial small subunit ribosomal RNA", at positions 29 to 507 of the family's 1533-position model. The record is from RNAcentral.